RNAcentral lists this ribosomal RNA (444 nucleotides) under uncultured bacterium. RNAcentral describes it as "SSU rRNA". It matches the Rfam family "Bacterial small subunit ribosomal RNA", at positions 26 to 518 of the family's 1533-position model. The record is from RNAcentral.
AGAGCGAACGCUGGCGGCAGGCUUAACACAUGCAAGUCGAACGGAUCCUUCGGGAUUAGUGGCGGACGGGUGAGUAACACGUGGGAACGUGCCUUUAGGUUCGGAACAACACAGGGAAACUUGUGCUAAUACCGGAUGUGCCCUUCGGGGGAAAGAUUUAUCGCCUUUAGAGCGGCCCGCGUCUGAUUAGCUUGUUGGUGAGGUAAAGGCUCACCAAGGCUACGAUCAGUAGCUGGUCUGAGAGGAUGGCCAGCCACAUUGGGACUGAGACACGGCCCAAACUCCUACGGGAGGCAGCAGUGGGGAAUCUUGCGCAAUGGGGGAAACCCUGACGCAGCCAUGCCGCGUGGAUGAUGAAGGUCUUAGGAUUGUAAAAUCCUUUCAGCGGGGACGAUAAUGACGGUACCGCAGAAGAAGCCCGGCUAACUUCGUGCCAGCAGCCGC